Molecule: non-coding RNA, 23 nt
Filed under: Arabidopsis thaliana (thale cress)
Lineage: Eukaryota; Viridiplantae; Streptophyta; Magnoliopsida; Brassicales; Brassicaceae
Source: RNAcentral
ACACCAAUCAUGUCGUUGUAGUA